GUUACAGAAAACCCAGAUUUGAUGGCCUUUGCCUUGUCCGAAGAACCCACAAGGUCAGAGACACAGUCUAUGGCUCCACAGGCCUGGCCCAUUUGCUAAAAGUGCACCAGCCCCACACACGGGGGCCACCACUUCCCAGAGCCAGGAUGAGAAAUCGAGGGUCAGAGACAUUAGAACAUUUGCUUGGAGCCAAAUUCAAACCCAGGAAGUCUGGCUGUAGAAUCUGUGCCUUUAACCACUACGUUAGACUCUCUCUCUCAAGAGAAUCAAAGACAAGUUCUUCAAAAAGCAAUCCUUUGAGAACUAUUGAGGGGCUCCCAAGAAGAGCAAAAGCACCUGGACUUGGAAAGGAAUCGCACAACAGGAUCAAAAAGCAAAGGCUCAGUCUGCACAGGUUACUACAGGUCACCUGAAGCCACUUCUCUUCUACUUCCAGACACGUGGAGGGUCGUAAUUCCUUGUUUCUCUGACUAGUCAUGGCCAGUAAGGUAUGAGCCGGCUUGACUCUCCAGCCUUCUCUUCCCAGGAUCUGGAAGCUUUGUGUGGAGACGCCAGUGGCAUGAGAUGGAGGAGGCUUCCUCAGCCCCAGGACCUGAGUGACAAAUGAUGGAGGAGUCAUUUGUCACUCAGGUCCUGGGGCCCCUACACCCCGAAUUCUGCACCAAGCUCUGCUGGAUGUGAAGUGCAUGUGAGUAAUAAACCUUUGGUUGAAGCCAAUGACAUAUGACAUUUGGGGCUCUUUUUUACCACAUUUUAAUCCAGGCACUCCUGACUCAUACGAGUGGGUCAGUCAUGUGAGAAAAGAGGCAAUUUCAGGUCUCUGACACUCUGGCAAUCAGUAGGAGUAGGGAGUGAGGAGGAGGGAAGGAUUCUUGGAAACUGCAGAGUAUUGCUACUAAGAUUUCACUGGGAAGAGCGUG
This 920-nucleotide long non-coding RNA is filed under the name Homo sapiens (human). Its description in RNAcentral is "HSALNT0231383". Lineage: Eukaryota; Metazoa; Chordata; Mammalia; Primates; Hominidae. The record is from RNAcentral.